UACGUAGGGUGCGAGCGUUAAUCGGAAUUACUGGGCGUAAAGUGUGCGCAGGCGGUUUCGCAAGUCAAGUGUGAAAGCCCCGGGCUUAACCUGGGAACUGCGCUUGAAACUACGGAACUCGAGUAUGGCAGAGGAAGGUGGAAUUCCACGUGUAGCGGUGAAAUGCGUAGAGAUCGGGAGGAACACCCGUGGCGAAGGCGGCCAGCUGGGAUGCACCUGACACUGAGGCGCGAAGGCGUGGGGAGCGAACGGG
RNAcentral lists this ribosomal RNA (253 nucleotides) under uncultured bacterium. Its description in RNAcentral is "partial 16S ribosomal RNA". It matches the Rfam family "Bacterial small subunit ribosomal RNA", at positions 524 to 776 of the family's 1533-position model. The record is from RNAcentral.